GGGGAUCGGGCUUGGCCGCUGAGAAGGCGGUGUUGCUGAAGGGAGAGUGAUGGCGGCACCGCCCAAUGGACGUGUGGGUGGAGGGGUCGGCGCACCCGCCCGCACAGGUGGAUGGGUCAGCUCCCCGGGCCCCAGCGUCCCGCCCCGCUGCUGCGUCCCGUCUCUCCCGGCCCGCACCCUCCUCCAGCCCAGCAGUGUGCUGUCCAUCGUCUGGCCGCCAGUCUUUGGCAAAGAGAAGCACUGCCACGGGCGUGUUUGGGCUAAGCCCCCUCCAUUCCGUCUGCGUUGGAGAAAUGUUCCUGGUACCAGAAGGAAUGAAAGGACUGGGACUGGUCUCCAUGGCAACUGGAAGAAAGAGACUAGCUCCCCUGACGAGGAAUAACUUUGGAGUUAUCCAAACUCUGGAAAUUCCAGCUCCUGCAAGAAGCCAUCCCAGAUGGAUCCUACAAGAACUAAGAAUACCUGUAACUAGUCUUCUAAAUCUCAGCACCCAGUGUGGCCUUUCUUUCUACCCCCCACCAAUCUGGUCCUCCUUGACCUGAGAGAGCUUUCAUCCAAGUCUGUGAGUCCUAAUAGAUCAUCCUGAAGAAUCAGAAAUCACCAUCAUCACCAUCAUCACCAUCACCAUCAUCAUCAUCAUCCAGGGCUGCCAAGAUGAAGCCCCAAUAGCAAAACAACACCUGAAAUACGUAUGUAGUUUGUUUGUUUACAGUGUACAGAGUACCUUUACAUGUCCUUUAAUCCUCCCAGCAACACGGAUGAUGAGGCAACUUAACCAGAGGCACACAGCUUAAAAAAUGACAGAACCUGGAUUCCUGAGAAGUUCAGCCACUCUCUGCCUCACAGUAACCAAAAGGCACAAAUUCAGUAAAAUUCCAAUAAGUUACUAGAAGGCUUUUUGUCUUCUUAAAUAAAUACAUGUGUCUUCACUCUUUGGUGUGAUCU
Molecule: long non-coding RNA, 945 nt
Filed under: Ursus americanus (American black bear)
Lineage: Eukaryota; Metazoa; Chordata; Mammalia; Carnivora; Ursidae
Description: lncRNA (ENSUAMG00000026937.1)
Source: RNAcentral